AAAGGCGUAAUGAAAGUGAAGGUUCGCCACGCGCGAACCGAGGGAGGACGGACGGUCGAUCGUGGCCGUCCCGCACUCCCUGGGCGUCUCGUUCUCAUCGCGAGAAGAGGCGCACCAAGAGCGUACACGCUGGGACCCGAAAGAUGGUGAACUAUGCCUGGUCAGGACGAAGUCAGGGGAAACCCUGAUGGAGGUCCGUAGCGAUUCUGACGUGCAAAUCGAUCGUCGGAACUGGGUAUAGGGGCGAAAGACUAAUCGAACCAUCUAGUAGCUGGUUCCCUCCGAAGUUUCCCUCAGGAUAGCUGGCGCUCGCUUCUGGCGAGUCUCAUUCGGUAAAGCGAAUGAUUAGAGGCAUUGGGGUCGAAACGGCCUCAACCUAUUCUCAAACUUUAAAUGGGUGAGAUCUCCGGCUUGCUUGAACUGUGAAGCCGCGAGAUAUCGGAUCAGAGUGCCAAGUGGGCCACUUUUGGUAAGCAGAACUGGCGCUGUGGGAUGAACCAAACGCCGAGUUAAAGCGCCUAAAUCGACGCUUAUGGGA
This 538-nucleotide ribosomal RNA is filed under the name Exomala pallidipennis. Its description in RNAcentral is "eukaryotic LSU rRNA". It matches the Rfam family "Eukaryotic large subunit ribosomal RNA", at positions 710 to 1209 of the family's 3401-position model. The record is from RNAcentral. Lineage: Eukaryota; Metazoa; Arthropoda; Insecta; Coleoptera; Scarabaeidae.